GGACUACUAGGGUAUCUAAUCCUGUUUGCUCCCCACGCUUUCGCGCCUCAGCGUCAGUAACGGGCCAGUGUGUCGCCUUCGCCACUGGUGUUCUUCCGAAUAUCUACGAAUUUCACCUCUACACUCGGAGUUCCACACACCUCUCCCGUACUCUAGGCUCCCAGUAUCAAAGGCAGUUCCGAGGUUGAGCCCCGGGAUUUGACCCCUGACUUAAGAACCCGCCUACGCGCCCUUUACGCCCAGUAAUUCCGAGCAACGCUAGCCCCCUUCGUAUUACCGCGGCUGCUGGCAC
RNAcentral lists this ribosomal RNA (292 nucleotides) under uncultured bacterium. RNAcentral describes it as "partial 16S ribosomal RNA". The record is from RNAcentral.